Molecule: RNase P RNA, 441 nt
Filed under: Synechococcales cyanobacterium C42_A2020_086
Lineage: Bacteria; Bacillati; Cyanobacteriota; Cyanophyceae; Synechococcales
Description: Bacterial RNase P class A
Rfam family: Bacterial RNase P class A
About the family: Ribonuclease P (RNase P) is a ubiquitous endoribonuclease, found in archaea, bacteria and eukarya as well as chloroplasts and mitochondria. Its best characterised activity is the generation of mature 5'-ends of tRNAs by cleaving the 5'-leader elements of precursor-tRNAs. Cellular RNase Ps are ribonucleoproteins.
Source: Rfam by way of RNAcentral
GAGGAGGCGCAGGCAGUUGCAGACUUCGGUCUGAGGAAAGUCCGGGCUUCCGAAAGACCAGACUUGCUGGGUAACGCCCAGUGCGGGCAACCGCGAGGAAAGUGCCACAGAAACAUACCGCCUGCUGAGGAGGUCGGGAAUUGGGGCAACCCACACUGCCCGCUCUCCCCAGUUCAGGUAAGGGUGCAAAGGUGCGGUAAGAGCGCACCAGCAGCGUCGAGAGGCGCUGGCUCGGUAAACCCCGGUCGGAAGCAAGGUCGAAGGAGCAAUGGUUGGUCUUUUUCCAGCUCCGAGCAGGACGGAGGAAACUCCACCCCUGCGGAAUCCGCUAGAGGUGUCUGGUAACAGGCAUCCCAGAUAGAUAACUGCCCUUCUGGGGGUGACCGCUUUGGCUGCUGCCUCCAGAAGAACAGAACCCGGCUUAUGUCCGCCUCUUCCCUU